This 64-nucleotide transfer RNA is filed under the name Thelaira macropus. Its description in RNAcentral is "tRNA-Asn". Lineage: Eukaryota; Metazoa; Arthropoda; Insecta; Diptera; Tachinidae. The record is from RNAcentral.
UUAAUUGAAACCAAAGAGAGGUUUAUCACUGUUAAUGAUAAUAUUGAGUAAAACUCCAAUUAAA